AUUCAAUUUAAUUCAAUUCAAUAUAAUUUCUUUCAUAUUGCCAGUGGGCCAUCCACACAACAUAAUCACAUGACAGAAAUAAAUCAUGGCAGAAAACAAGUGACAAUAAUAAUAAUAAUAACAUGUCGUUGUUAUAUAGCGCUUAAUGCCUUAACAAAGCCUCUAAGCGCUUCAAUGUACUAAUAUAUUGUCCAACAUCACUCCAAUAGUGCUUUAUGACCAGCAUACCCCACCCUACUGAAGUAGGCCUAUACAUCGCUGGUAGGGACAUAUCCACAAAGGUACUAAUGACCUGCAUACGCCACCAAAUAUGAUUGCUUAAAUUACUAUUUUACAUUAUUUGUAUCACAAUUUCUCUUAAUUAUGUUGAUUUAUAGUCAUUGAAUGUUGAUGUUAAAUCACUUUUAUUUCAAUUCAUAUGAAAUAUAUUCAUACAAAAAAUAUUGCAAUUUGCAUAACAUGAUACAAACAAUAAAAAAAAUUAAAGUAAUUACUGAAUAAAAAAGUAAUAAAUACUUCUCCCAAGGUUACAUCCUUAAAAGUGAUGAACUGGGCGAGAGAGAAUCAAGCAGAAAAAAAUUACUUUUGUUUGUAUUCCUACCCACUCAUUCAGUUUAAUUGUAUUAUUGUGCACUAGUAUUUUAUAUUAUUAAUGUUUAAAAUUUAAGAAUAAGAGUGGAUUUCCUUUGAAUGUUGAUUAAUAUGAUCAUAUGAGCUGUCAUUUAUUGAUUCACUCUCUUUGUUUCCAAUGUGUUACAGUUUAAAGAGACUCCACUUCACAACCUGUUAGAAGCCAAACACAAAUUCAGAGAUCACCUUGAUAUUGCAAGACUUCUUUUGGAUGCCGGGGCUGAUGUAAAUAUAAAGAAUGAGCUUGAGCAGUGGCUGAUCUAGGAUUAAAGAAUUGAGGAUGGCUAGGUAGUGUAUACAGGUUGUUCAUGGAGGCCUCGACCCCAGAACUUUCCACAUUCUGAGGUCUGUUAAUGAUGUUGAAGUCUCAUACAAAUAAAUAAAAUAAUUCUGGCUUUUCUGUUGACGGAUAAUAUCAACAAGACCAGAUGAAAUUAUUUGAUAAUAUGAUGAUAAUGAUUACAUUAACAGCAGCACAGUAUCAGUAGUGGAGCCUAAUAUGAGAGAAGAGAGUCCAUGGCUGGGGUGAAUGAGGGUGGGAAUGAGAUGAGCUUAAUUGUAGGUUAUUUGGUAAAAUGUAAACCACUCCACAAAGCAUCUUGACUUUAGAAAUGUUAACUUUGUUUCUAUUACUUGGUAUAAAGGGAUUGCUCUAGUCUAGGCCUAUGUAUUUUUGUGGGAAAGGUUAUCCACCCUAUUCAAUUCUCCCCAUCCUAGAUCUAUUCUUGCUUGAGUUAUUUAGCUGUUGUUGCUGCUUGAUUGAUUGACAAAGAUUCUGAAGACCACCGGUACAGUAAUAUUAGCACAACAAGCGAUUGUUUUGUUAAGGGAAUGGUCUUAUAAUCAAUACUUAUGAUUGAGUCUUUGCAAGAUAUAAAAGAAAAUUGCACUGAUAUGUACAUAUAAUAUUUCUUUUAGGAUACUUCUUGUGAUUAUUUUUGCGUGAUACUUUCUAUGAAGUAUUUUUUAAAGUAGAAUGAUCGAUUUUGAUUUGUUUUAAGUUUUAUGUGUGAUUAUUUUUACAGCACAAUCAGACGCCACGUGACCUCUAUAUAA
Anneissia japonica is the source of this 1686-nucleotide long non-coding RNA. RefSeq lists it as uncharacterized. The record is from RefSeq and is a predicted model, not a curated record. Lineage: Eukaryota; Metazoa; Echinodermata; Crinoidea; Comatulida; Comatulidae. The transcript has 3 exons.